AAGAGUAAAAGAAGUAUAGGAAUGUGCACUCACUGUUCACUUCUAACACAAUAUCUUUCCAUAUUAGUUGACCUUGCGAUGUGACGACAAGUUGUGUUAGUUUUGAGAUUUAAGAUCCUCCGUAAGAGUAGUAUUGUUGAUCAAAAUACGCUACCCGUUGAAUAGUUUUAAAAUCUUUUAUUAUACAUGCAAAAUAAUAAUCUUGAUUCCUGGUGCAAUAUUUGUAUCAUAAAUAUUUCGAGACAUGCAAACACAUUGAGUGUACUCUAUUUCACAACAAUUACGACAGCAAGUUCGAUGGAAGCUUAUUACAACAAGAACCCAGCAGGAAUCAUUUGGUAUUCACAAAAGUAUUUUAGAGACUAAAUUCUUUUAUCGAAAAUUCGCGUGGAGUCUAAAUUCUUUUUUUCACGAAAUUGACUGACGCGGAAAUGCGCACUCUUUAAUUACUAAAUUUUGACUACUCUCUAUUAUAAGAGUAAAACAAAGUAAUCUCA
This 497-nucleotide unclassified non-coding RNA is filed under the name Pogonomyrmex barbatus (red harvester ant). RNAcentral's name for it is "uncharacterized LOC105432334, transcript variant X1". The record is from RNAcentral. Lineage: Eukaryota; Metazoa; Arthropoda; Insecta; Hymenoptera; Formicidae.